CCACGUGGCAAACCGGUCCAACAACGACUUCGGUCCACACGAAACCCACGUCUCGCUCUCUCGCCUCUCCCUCCCUGAAAUCUGAAGAAGCUUGCCUUUUUUCUCAUUCCAGUUUUAACCACAGGCUAUGUAGACCACAAUGAUGUUUUCAAAUUAGGCACCGUCACUGCAUCCAUAUGUGGCUUUCUGAGGUUUGAACUUUCUGGUGGAAGUCUUUUGGCAACUGUUGGCUCCAAUUAAAUGAUCUUAGUUCAUUGCAUGUGGGUUGAUGGAGCAAAAGGCUUGUUGGUUUGCCGCAUUCUAGUUUCCCAUAAACGAUCAAUUUUGGACUGGUGUUGCGAAUGAAUAGCAAAUGAUAGAUGUCUUUUCAGAGGAGGUGGAUGCUUUCUGCAGGUUAAAGGUGCCAUGAAUAGAAAGUGGAGCAGAAAGAUCGGCUGAAGUUCGAUAUUUAGACCUAGACGCAAGUUAUAGUCUCUUGUGAAUGCCUCGUGAGAUGGCGAAGAUAAACUAGGAGCUAAAGGCUAAAGCACCAUAGCUCAUUUAAGCUAAGAAUGUUUUUUUUCCCUGUCUUAAUAGAACACCAAAAUGCCCCCACAAGAAUUUCUAACAUAUGCUUUGGUUGAAAGAUUCGGAAAAUAAAUCUUAUAUACAUAUAUAUUGUACAUCCAAGACCUCAACAUUUUUAUAUCGAGGAAGUUCAUCUCCCUUUUAUUUUUUAUUAAUUCAUGGUGUUUUUCUUCUUCUUUUUAUCUGUGAGUCUGAUUAUCAUGUAAAUCUAGUAGAAUUUAGCUAAUGAGUGAUGCUGUUUAUUAAGAGUGCAAAACCUAGGGGCUAUGGGUUGUCAUUUAAGAAGUAUGACUAUCAUUUUCAAUCCUUUUCAUCCCAAAUUCAAUAAUUCAUUAGUUUGUCUGGUAUCCAAGGUUAUGAGUAUGUCUCUGAACGAUUUCUAGUGAGUUGUCUGUGAGAACCAGCUCGUGAUGCAAGCUACUCGGACAGCCCUCCAACCAAACCUUAUCCCCCCUAUAUUUUAUUCCUUCUUUAUUCUUUUUUAGGAGUGUGGGGUAGGAAGGAAAUUAUUUUACAUGGUUAAAAGUGGUGUAACACAAAAGUCUUUGAGUCCCAUACUUUUCAAAUUAGCUUUUAGACAGCACUCACAAAUUAGAAAAGAUAUCAGAAAAGAAAAGCUGCCUACCAUGGUGUCUACACUCUACAAAGCCCACCCACCUAACCAUAUAUUUUCUUCAUUUUUCUACUUUUUAUUUCAUAUUCUUUCCUUUUCUUUCUUUUGUACCCAUGCUGGAUUCUGUAUAUGCACACUCGCUCGUAGGCCCCAGGAGCUAAACCUAAAACAAAAAGACAUCUCUCUUUUCUACUCUCUAUAGCAUGAAAACUCAGGGAAGCAGUUUCUGUCUUUUUUUCCUAUGACUUUUGAAACAUUGAACACAAGCUUGACCAUUCAUUCUCUUCUUCUGGAAAUAAUAUAGCCCUCUCAAUAUAUAAGGAAAAAAAAUGCAUGUCUCUUUGUUGGGUUAGGAUAUCAAACACUGCUAGACAUAACGCAUACCUGCUGCAUACAUGAUGCAUGUCUCUUUGAUAUUCCUAAAUUUCUCCCUUUUUCUUUUGAUUUCCCUUUACUUUUGUCCCAACUUGGAAAGUUUGCUACCUUCUCCGACUUCCCUUUGCUUUUGGAGAAAUUAUUAGAAGACAGGUUUAGUUAGAGGAUUAGCAAAACCAUUCUGGAGAGUGGAGAUUAGGUGCCAGUGGCUCCUUCAGAUGACCAGUGUGUUGCGUUCAUAAAGCUUGUGGGCCCAAAUCUAGCCAGCUAGUUGGUUGCCUAGAGGAAAGAUUUUCAAAUUCGUAGUAUCUGCAGGCGUAGAAUUUGAAGGCUUUUGAUUCCCGACAUGCUCAAAAUUUGUUUUCCAGUUGUGAAAAUUGACUCCUGGACUUGAAAGAAAAGUUGUGAUAAAGGGUGUCUGUCUUCUAAGUCAAGCUUGCUUUUUGCCCAUCUAUCAUGUGCUCCACGUUGAAACACAUCAGUAUCAUAUGAAAAUAUAUGUGUGGGUUUCCCAGUUUUGUAGAAGUUUUCUGUGUCCUCCGACUGGUGCACCAAGAUGAAAUCUGAGUUGCCCAAAAUAUAAGUCUUUUUAGGCAGUUCCAAGGAGAGAAAGAGAGGUUUGUAGGGAUAAUAUAUAGCCUAGAUUAGCUCCUUUGGAUGGGGUUCUGAAUAAUUGAUGGUUUUAUUAACGAUUAUUUCCCCUUUCUGGCCAUUAUAGCUCCCCAUGCUCUUGGAGAAAUCAAUCAUUGUGUAGGCAUUUUUUUGGUGGCUGUCUUCAAAGACUUAUCAUCAUUACCCAAAUCAACUAAGUUAUUGUGCCUUUUUGAAGUCUUGCUUAUCAUAUGUUCAUAAUAAUAAUACAAAUACUGAUAAAGAGUACAAGAAAACCGCAAUUGCUGUCUGGAAGCUUUUCUGUAAGUCACCGACCCCAAUUAUUAUUUGCCACAAUUCAUCAUUUGUCACAAAAUGCAGCUCUUCUCUACUGUUCUUAUUACUGUUGUUAUUAUAAUUGAUAAGUGACCCAGCAUCUCACAGGACGGCACUUCAAGCCAUGGCUUUGCCCACCGCCCAAAA
Molecule: long non-coding RNA, 2629 nt
Organism: Juglans regia (Persian walnut)
Lineage: Eukaryota; Viridiplantae; Streptophyta; Magnoliopsida; Fagales; Juglandaceae
Exons: 4
Source: RefSeq, a predicted model, not a curated record